UGGGGGAUAUUGCACAAUGGGCGAAAGCCUGAUGCAGCGACGCCGCGUGGGGGAUGAAGGCUUUCGGGUUGUAAACCUCUUUCGCUAUCGAACAAGGCCCGCUUAGGGUGGGUUGAGGGUAGGUGGAGAAGAAGCGCCGGCUAACUACGUGCCAGCAGCCGCGGUAAUACGUAGGGCGCGAGCGUUUUCCGGAAUUAUUGGGCGUAAAGGGCUUGUAGGCGGCUUGUUGCGCCUGCUGUGAAAACGCGGGGCUUAACUUCGCGCGUGCAGUGGGUACGGGCAGGCUUGAGUGUGGUAGGGGUGACUGGAAUUCCAGGUGUAGCGGUGGAAUGCGCAGAUAUCUGGAGGAACACCGGUAGCGAAGGCAGGUCACUGGGCCAUUACUGACGCUGAGGAGCGAAAGCAUGGGUAGCGAACAGG
This 420-nucleotide ribosomal RNA is filed under the name bacterium. Its description in RNAcentral is "partial 16S ribosomal RNA". It matches the Rfam family "Bacterial small subunit ribosomal RNA", at positions 355 to 776 of the family's 1533-position model. The record is from RNAcentral.